Molecule: transfer RNA, 71 nt
Filed under: Saitoella complicata NRRL Y-17804
Lineage: Eukaryota; Fungi; Ascomycota; Saitoellomycetes; Saitoellales; Saitoellaceae
Rfam family: tRNA
About the family: Transfer RNA (tRNA) molecules are approximately 80 nucleotides in length. Their secondary structure includes four short double-helical elements and three loops (D, anti-codon, and T loops).
Source: Rfam by way of RNAcentral
CGUGAAUUGGUGUAAUGGUAACAUUGGUGACUCAUGAUCACUAGAUAUUGGUUCAAAUCCUUUAUUCACAC